RNAcentral lists this ribosomal RNA (484 nucleotides) under uncultured bacterium. RNAcentral's name for it is "partial 16S ribosomal RNA". It matches the Rfam family "Bacterial small subunit ribosomal RNA", at positions 29 to 507 of the family's 1533-position model. The record is from RNAcentral.
AAUGAACGCUGGCGGCAUGCCUAACACAUGCAAGUCGAACGGCAGCGCGGGCUUCGGCCUCGCGGGGCGUGGCGAACGGGCGAGUGAUGCACCCGAACGUGCCCUGCCGAGGGGGAUAGGCUGGCGAAAGCCGGACGAAUAUCGUACCCGACCAGAUAGUGAACGCGGGGGUUCGAAAGUCCUCGCGCUUUUUGAGCGGCCUAUGUGGUAUUAGCUCGCUGGAUGGGUAAAGGCUUACCAAGGCGACGAUCCGUAGCUGGUCUGAGAGGACGACCCGCCACACUGGAACUGAGACACGGCCCAGACUCCUACGGGAGGCAGCAGUGGGGAAUUUUGCGCAAUGGGGGAAAGCCUGAUCCAGCAAUGCCGCGUGAGGGAUGAAGGCCUUCGGAUUGUAAACCGCUGUUGUUCGGGAAGAAAUAAUGUGGAAUUAUCCCCGGAGGUGAUGACGGUACCGGAAGAAUAAGCACCGGCUAACUACGUG